AUGUGUGAAAUAUCCAUUUGGGUAUUUUUGUAAGUUAUAGUGAUUAACUGGGUAAUUUUUAUAAUUAUGCUGAGAUUUAAGUUUAAGAGUUCAAGGGUUUAAUUGUAAUUGUCAUUGCAAGGGAUGGAUUUGAUUGUUUUGCAUUUGGAUGAUGUGCUUCUUAGUUUUUACUUCUGUAUCAAAUUGAUUAAAUUAAGUGAUUAGAAGCCUUAACUCUAGUCACUUAAUCUGAAAGCUCAAGCUUUCUGAUACCAUGUUCAAGAACCAUUCAACUCAAAUGAAUCUUUUAGUGAGAAUCGAGGGGUUUUUUAUUUUAUUUUUUAUUUAU
RNAcentral lists this unclassified non-coding RNA (328 nucleotides) under Hevea brasiliensis (rubber tree). Lineage: Eukaryota; Viridiplantae; Streptophyta; Magnoliopsida; Malpighiales; Euphorbiaceae. The record is from RNAcentral.